GAGAAUAUGCACCGACGAAGACGCCUAAAUCCAAAGGCUGAUGCCAACUUUUACAUUGAUACUGGAGGGGACAAAGUGGGACUUGACAUCAAAUACAUCAAUGCCUUCAAAGGUCAUGGCAUCUUCACCUCUGCUCUAUUUGAAAAGGGAGAAUUUCUGUUGGAAUAUAGAGGUGAAUUAAUAAGCCAGCAAGAAUGUGAACGGAGACAGAGACUUCAUCACGACUGCCUGAAGGUGUUCAUGUUCGAGUUCCAUUUUAAUGGAAAACUAUGGUGUUUUGAUGCAGCAA
Molecule: long non-coding RNA, 289 nt
Organism: Pseudoliparis swirei
Lineage: Eukaryota; Metazoa; Chordata; Actinopteri; Perciformes; Liparidae
Exons: 3
Source: RefSeq, a predicted model, not a curated record